GGCUGGAGGAUGUGAGUGCCGAUUUGCGUGUUUUGGGCAUCAGAGGAUGGGAGAAUGUGACGGAGAGGAGAGACGAUUGGAGGCGAAUUGUGCAGGAGGCCAAGGUCCACAUCGGACUGUAGCGCCAAUGAAAGUAAAGUAAGUGUUAAGAUUGUUGAG
Long non-coding RNA from Nilaparvata lugens (brown planthopper), 159 nucleotides. RefSeq lists it as uncharacterized. Lineage: Eukaryota; Metazoa; Arthropoda; Insecta; Hemiptera; Delphacidae. The transcript has 3 exons. The record is from RefSeq and is a predicted model, not a curated record.